CCGUCAAUUCAUUUGAGUUUUAAUCUUGCGACCGUAGUCCCCAGGCGGAAUGUUUAACGCGUUAGCUGUAAUACAGAAAGUAAACUCCCCAUAUUUAACAUUCAUCGUUUACAGCGUGGACUACCAGGGUAUCUAAUCCUGUUUGCUCCCCACGCCUUCGCGCUUCAGCGUCAGAUUUGAACCAGAUAGACGCCUUCGCCACUGGUGUUCCUCCUAAUAUUUACGAAUUUUACCUCUACAUCAGGAAUUCCUCUAUCCUCUUUCAAUCUCUAGAUUAAUAGUUUUAAAAGCAAUUCCAAGGUUAAGCCUCGGGAUUUCACUUUUAACUUAUUAACCAGCCUACGCGCCCUUUACGCCCAAUAAUUCCGAAUAACGCUAGCCCUCUCCGUAUUACCGCGGC
This 400-nucleotide unclassified non-coding RNA is filed under the name uncultured fungus. RNAcentral describes it as "sequence contains ITS1". Lineage: Eukaryota; Fungi. The record is from RNAcentral.